AUGAAAGAGGAAAGGCCAUCCACAAAAAACCAAAAUCCAAAAGCAAAAGCAAAUGGAGAAGGCAGCGCAAUAAGGCAAGAAAAAAUACUUUGCCUGUGUGUGCAAAAGUCUUCAGCUGCACACGCCGCCCCCUGCUCCAGAGGCGCCUGGCAGAGGCAAGUGGCACCUGGCGAGAGGAGGCCCUAGGAGACAUCAUCGAGCACCAGCCGCCGUCACGCGGAGGCCAUGGAAACGUACUCUGGAUGAAUGGAGGCCCACUGAACAUUUCUGAGGAGAGGAGCAGGAGCAGGAGCAGGAGCAGGAACAGGAACCGAAACUGAAACCGAAAGGAACCGGAUUCCCAAUCGAUUCAGAGCAAUCUGAAUUCUGAAGUCUGAGAUCUGAGGUCUGAAAGGAAGGAUACUUUAAAUAGCGCCGCGACUGUGGAGGGGCUUCGCUAUUGGUGGUGGGUGGGCGUCGCUAGUGCCAGUGCGUGCCACUUGGUGGCAAGGGGGCGUGGAACCACCGCAUCUGAUCGAAUCAUGAAGCAUUCAAGUGUUUCCAUACACAGGGACAUGAUGGAAUUCGGCUAACUGCAGCAGAAGCACUGCAGCAACUGUGAUCCAGCUCGAGGAUUACGCAGCAAUCAAAAUUUAAGAGCGGAACCGAACGCACAACCGCAGAAAGCAAUCCGCAGGACAUACUCCAAGUAUUCAAGUAUUCCAAUAGCAGUAUCAAAAGCGUAGUUAGAUUAGCGCCCAGUAGCCAUCAUCAUCAGACCACCACCUCAGACGCAGCGACGGCGGCUGCGACACCGAGACCCUAGCGGGUGACGCGGCCAUGGAACCUCCCGGUGGGGUGCCGCCCGACAAGGACCGACAGCUAGUGCUCAGAAACUCAGCCCAGUCGGCUCCCGGUUCCGUUUCCAUUGUCGUCGCCGCCCCGAAUGCCGGACACGGAACAACGUCGGCGGCUGCGAACCCUCAGCAGCAGUCCAGCAGUCAAUCCACGCACUUGCCACAGUCCAUUAAGCCGACGACACUGAGCCUGCAACCACAUGGAGGCGUGCAUGCCACGGCCACGGCCACGGCCACGACUACGGCCACGACUACGGCCACGCAGCUAUCUCCCUCGGCCGCCGCGAACAACAAUGCGGCGGCAACUGCCGCAACGGCUACGAGCAGCGGGAGCGGGAACGCCAACAGCGGCAAUAGUCCUGCGCUGGCGUCCACCGCCACGGCCAUAUCCGCCACAACGCAGGCAGCGACCGCAUUUAGCGGCAGUUCCGUGGGCCACCAUCACUUGCAGCACCACCAGCAUCCGCACGCCCAUUCACAGCCCGCAACGCACCAACAACAACUGCUGCACGCACUGCCCCAUCAGCAGUCCCAGGCGACGGCGCCAGCAGCGGCGCCAGCAGCGGCACCAGCAACGGCAACGGCGUCACACCACCACCAUCACAGCUCCAUCUCCGGGCCUGGUGGUUCGGGCAGUGGAGGACUGCUUGCAGGUGCGGGCAGCGGUUCCGGAGGUGGCAACCCACAGCAAACCAUUGAGAAGCUCUCCCGACCAAUGGCCUUCGACAAGAUGGAGGUGCUGGUGCGCGAGAUGCAGGAUCAAGAACAUGGUGUACCCGUGCGACAGCAGAAAAUGUUCCUUACAUCUAUACCAUACGCGUUUAUGGGAUACGAUCUGAUCGAAUGGCUUAUGGACCGAUUGCAAAUCGAGGAAUCGGAGGCCCUGAACAUUGCCAACCAGCUGUGUCUGCACGGGUACUUCUUUCCGGUGAACGACUCAAAGACGCUGACCGUGAAGGACGACUCAUCGCUGUACCGCUUCCAGACCCCCUACUACUGGCCGUGGCAGCACAAGGCCCCGGAUAACGUGGAGUAUGCCAUAUAUUUGGCCAAGCGAUCGCUACGCAAUAAACAGCGCCAUGCGCUCGAGGACUACGAGGCCGAGGCCUUGUCCUCACUGCAUAAGAAUCUGAAGGGCAAAUGGGACUUUAUAUCGAUGCAGGCCGAGGAGCAGGUGCGCUUGGCCAAGGAGCGCAAGAAGGGGGACAAGAUUGUUGGAGACUCGCAGGAGCGGGCCUACUGGCGCGUACACCGUCCACCCCCCGGCCAGUUCACGCCCCUGGAGCCCUGUCCGGUGCCGUCGCGCGACCGCCAGGGCUUCAAACCCAACAAGAAAAAGACUGUCGACGAUGUACAGCGAGAGGUCGACUACUUGGGCAAGUCCCUGAACCGAACGCGAAUGAAGAUGUCGCAGGCCUGCGAGUCACUGGUCUGCUACUCGGAGACCUUCAGUGAAUACGACUUCUUUCUGCAGCCGGCGCUGCCCUCGAACCCCUGGGUCACCGAGGACAUUACCUUUUGGCAGCUGAACAACACCUUCGUGGACAUUCCCACUGAGAAACGAGUGAAGCGGUGGGCCAUUUCCAUCGAGGAGCUGGUCUCGGAUCCGACGGGUCUGCAGGAGUUCACGACCUUCCUCGAGAAGGAGUACUCGCACGAGAACAUUCGUUUCUGGAUUGCUGUCAACCGCUUGCGUCGAUCCGCCCACUCCCAGGUGGCACGGAAGGUCAACGAGAUCUACGAGGAAUUUCUGAAGCCUGGAGCACCCUGCGAGAUAAACAUCGAUGGAAAAACGAUGGAAAGUGUGCUUCGCGGUCUCAAGAACCCAUCGCGCUUCACCUUCGACUCGGCCUCAGAGCACAUUUACAUGUUGCUACUGAAAAAGGACUGCUACCCUCGCUUUAUUCGAUCGGAGCACUACAAGCGUUUGCUCGACACUGGCAUCCAGCCCUCGUACAAGAAGCGUUUCUUCAAUUUCGGAGGCGUCAGCGGAGCCAAGAAGAAGAUGACAGCUGCCCUGUCCAGUCAGCCGAACCUGGGCGAUGCGGGGGGGUCGAAGGGGUCCAGCAGUGCGGCAGGCGGCACGGGCUCCAUGAUGCAGGCACCGCCACCCGGCAGCCUGGCACGGCGUCGUGGCAGCGACCGCAGUCUGACGGGCUCAGCGCAUGAGCUGGCCGUCAUUGGGGUGAACAAGGAGGCAGGUUCCAAGGUACCGCACUCCCAUUCCCAGAGCAAUCUCAGCGAGAUUCCCUUUAGUAGCGAUUCUAUUUAUCGAGGCGAUAUGCCGCAGCCCCAUCGCCACACGGCGAUCAUGGAUGUUGGGAUCUAUGCUGCCUACGGCGGGAAUCGCGAAAGUAGUUUACAGGCACUCCCAGAAAACCCAAAGACGAAGUCCACCGGUCUCGACACGUUGGAGUCCACCACAGCAUUAGCUGGCAACAGUAGCGCCGUUUGUCCCUGGGACGAGCCGGUGGCAAUACUUCCAGCAGCUCAGGUGAAGCUCUCUGUGUGUCCCUGGGAGCAGGAUACUGUGACAGAUCCAGCGCCGGCAACGGCAACGGCACCGGCGUCAGUUCCGGUUCCGGUUGCGGUACUGUCCAAGCAGACGGCUGUCACCGUACAGCCACUACGAUUGACAAGCACUUCGUCGGACAGCAGUGAUGUGGCUGAUCGCCUGCAGCGAAAUCUAGGCAUUCGACACCAAAACACCGUCGACAGUGGAGAAACGAGCAUCAAACGUCUGACUCCCAACUUUACGGAACAGCGUCGGGCAUCUGUAUCCUUCACUCCAAGCCGCAGCUCCGACUACCAGUUUGGACGCGCCGCCGGUGCAUGUCCGUCUACCACAUCCACCACGCCCACCGUAGGAAGCCAAAGCGCAGGUGUCGGCAGCAGUAAUCUCACGCCACUGCAGGCUAGGAGUGCCGUCUUUGGAGGUGCCAGUGGCGGCAGCAGCUUCGUUGCAGUUGCAGCUGCCGCCAAGGAUCAACAGCCACUGACUGGCUCGGAUGUGGAAACCGAAGUGGAGGAAGAACUAAACAAGCUGUCACAAGAGUCGUCGACAUCGGAGUUGCCUGUGCUUGUGACUCCCACACCCACACAGACCCCGCCGCUCAUAACAAAGGUCACGCCACCGCCCGAGGAGUACCUCCCCAUCCAAGCAGAUUCGAUGGCAAAUUGCUUGCAACAGCAGCAACUCGUUGAGAGCUGCGUGACACACGGGAAAGACGUGACUGUGGUAAAAGAGGUACAGAUCGAACUGAUCGAGUCGCGUGCCUACGAAAAAGAUCUGGCUACCACGACGCCCACCAUUAAGGUUCUGGAGCUAGUUGCGACUACUCCAGGCUCUUAUACCCGCUUACCCUCGGGCCAGAGUCAAGAAGCACUUACAACAACCACCGAGGAUGCCGCAUUGGCCGACGACGACGAAACGGAGCAAGCAGCCCCAGCCCAGGCGCAGGUACCCCUGUCCGAAGUGUCAGAGGCCUUACAAGAUGAGCUUUCACCCACCACCGAUGAGUACCAAGAAGGACUGCAGUUUGGCGGCAACGACACCAAGGACGUGGUCGAUGACUUUGACAGCAUAGAUAGCGACAUACAGCUCGGCUACAUACCGCCUGCUCCCACCCCUGCUCCAUCCAUGGCGCCCCUGGCUGAGUUGGACGUAGACACGAUGGUGGACGAUGAUCCAGCGGACGAGCCUGCCAGCAGUACAGAGCGUCCGGCAGUGGCAGUGGCAGUGGCAGUGGCAGCAGCAGUAGCUCCCACGGCAACAGCAACAGCAACAGCAACUCCGACAUCCAGCAAUGACGAGGCACGCAAGCGCCGCAAGAAACGAAACUCUGAUGGGAAAAAGCACAGCUCGCAGGAGGACAAGGAUAAGGAUGGUGGAAAAGAUGGAAGCGGAAGUGGCGGCGGCGGCGGCGGCGGCGUCGUCGAUCCGGAACACAAUGCAGUGUGCCCCUGGGAAGACGAGAACGUGAGCACUAGCGAUGGAACCUUCGUGAAGACAUAUGCCACAUUGGGCUACUUAUGAAUAAAACCAAAUCUGUUCAAGACGGUGGUCAACAAGUUGCUGAAAAGGAAGCCGCACAAGCAAAAAAACUUCUUCAACAUACAGAAAACUGAAAUGAGAAACGUCUAUGGGCACGUACCAGAUGUACUAUAUACAUAUAUGUAUGAUCUUAGUGUAUAUGAAGGAACAUACUCUUAUUGUACAAAAAUUACAAAUUCUAUACUAUGUACUCUCAUAACAAAUGAAAAAUGAUAAAUGAUAAAUGAAAAGCAACGUGAUGGCAACAGAGAAACCGAAAGCAUCUAUAAAUCUAGAAAUAUGUAUUUAAAAUCAAAUAAUCCUCCUCCAAUCAUAAUUGGCAUGUUUUGUGGUGAUCAACUGGAAAACUAAAGAAUAGACAACAAAAACGAGAGAGAAUACCAACACAAGGAUUGUAGACUCGACAACAAAACAGAUAGAUCUGUAAUUCAUUCAUGAACCUACAAUGCAAUAUACACAUAAAUGGAGUUGGAAUAACUGAAUCCCUAUGAUUAAUAAACAAGUAACAAGCCCAUUUGGGGAUCUACAAAGAACAAAAGGACAUCCCGCAUGUAACUUCCAUGGAAAUCGUAAGCAUUGUUUGAGCGUAGUGCCUUUUGCGUAGAAGUACACACCGACCGUUUAAUUUUGGGUUAUCCAUCAAGACAUUCGGCUUACAGACCGUCGUAGACAUAGACAGUGAACUGAAUUCAAACAAUAAAAUUAUAGUUCGGCCUAAUUGGCUGUCGUCUAUUUUGUGUGUCAAUCGUUUGGUUGUUCAAUAAGUUCAAUAAGAGUUCAAAAUUUCACAAGUUCAUU
This 5688-nucleotide unclassified non-coding RNA is filed under the name Drosophila pseudoobscura pseudoobscura. Its description in RNAcentral is "GA22316". The record is from RNAcentral. Lineage: Eukaryota; Metazoa; Arthropoda; Insecta; Diptera; Drosophilidae.